Molecule: ribosomal RNA, 496 nt
Filed under: uncultured bacterium
Lineage: Bacteria
Description: partial 16S ribosomal RNA
Rfam family: Bacterial small subunit ribosomal RNA
Source: RNAcentral
GAUGAACGCUGGCGGCGUGCCUAAUACAUGCAAGCCGAGCGAACGGACGAGAAGCUUGCUUCUCUGAUGUUAGCGGCGGACGGGUGAGUAACACGUGGAUAACCUACCUAUAAGACUGGGAUAACUUCGGGAAACCGGAGCUAAUACCGGAUAAUAUUUUGAACCGCAUGGUUCAAAAGUGAAAGACGGUCUUGCUGUCACUUAUAGAUGGAUCCGCGCUGCAUUAGCUAGUUGGAAGGUAACGGCUUACCAAGGCAACGAUGCAUAGCCGACCUGAGAGGGUGAUCGGCCACACUGGAACUGAGACACGGUCCAGACUCCUACGGGAGGCAGCAGUAGGGAAUCUUCCGCAAUGGGCGAAAGCCUGACGGAGCAACGCCGCGUGAGUGAUGAAGGUCUUCGGAUCGUAAAACUCUGUUAUUAGGGAAGAACAUAUGUGUAAGUAACUGUGCACAUCUUGACGGUACCUAAUCAGAAAGCCACGGCUAACUACGUG